GGGGGCGAAAUUGGGUUCGACCGGGUAGAUGAAGUGGUAGUGGCGUGUCGUGGUUGGUCAGUGGGCCACGUUAAAAGCUGACCAAAAACUUUACUUGCCGAGGAAAACCUCGUGCUAGCUGCCUAGCAACAGGCGGCUCCGACUGAGGGCCUUAGCCGGUUAGGUCUGAAAGUCGGUCGUCAAAUCCGGAUCGCCGCUGGUCACGUUGAGCACGCUGGCGGUUAAAACAAGUUCUCAACUAGUGCCGACCGAACCCUGUCGGUUGGGGUCGGGCGGCGCGAAACACCAAAGAAUCGGCUACACACGUAGAAGCUGCCGCGGAAAUGCCACGGGACGCGGGUUCGAUUCCCGCCGCCUCCAUUG
RNAcentral lists this transfer-messenger RNA (363 nucleotides) under Planctomycetota bacterium. Its description in RNAcentral is "Planctomycetes bacterium (freshwater metagenome) transfer-messenger RNA". It matches the Rfam family "transfer-messenger RNA". Rfam says of the family: Bacterial tmRNA, also known as 10Sa RNA or SsrA, is named for its dual tRNA and mRNA-like properties. Its role is to liberate the mRNA from a stalled ribosome. To accomplish this part of the tmRNA is used as a reading frame that ends in a translation stop signal. Lineage: Bacteria; Pseudomonadati; Planctomycetota. The record is from RNAcentral.